This 430-nucleotide ribosomal RNA is filed under the name uncultured bacterium. RNAcentral's name for it is "bacterial SSU rRNA". It matches the Rfam family "Bacterial small subunit ribosomal RNA", at positions 355 to 776 of the family's 1533-position model. The record is from RNAcentral.
UGAGGAAUCUUGCGCAAUGGGGGAAACCCUGACGCAGCAACGCCGCGUGAGUGAAGAAGGCCUUCGGGUCGUAAAGCUCUGCCGGGUGGGAAGAAAUAUAUGUAGACGAAUACUCUGCAUAUUUGACGGUACCGCCAAAGGAAGCACCGGCUAACUCCGUGCCAGCAGCCGCGGUAAUACGGGGGGUGCAAGCGUUGUUCGGAAUUAUUGGGCGUAAAGAGCGUGUAGGCGGCGGAAUAAGUCAGAUGUGAAAGCCCUGGGCUCAACUCAGGAAGUGCAUUUGAUACUGCUUCGCUUGAGUACUGGGGAGGGAAGAGGAAUUCCUGGUGUAGAGGUGAAAUUCGUAGAUAUCAGGAGGAACACCGGUGGCGAAGGCGACUUCCUGGCCAGAUACUGACGCUGAGACGCGAGAGCGUGGGGAGCAAACAGG